Molecule: unclassified non-coding RNA, 391 nt
Filed under: soil metagenome
Description: partial contains 5.8S ribosomal RNA, internal transcribed spacer 2, and large subunit ribosomal RNA
Rfam family: 5.8S ribosomal RNA (bases 1-122)
Source: RNAcentral
GAUGAAGAACGUAGCGAAAUGCGAUACUUGGUGUGAAUUGCAGAAUCCCGUGAACCAUCGAGUCUUUGAACGCAAGUUGCGCCCGAAGCCAUUAGGCCGAGGGCACGCCUGCCUGGGCGUCACACGUCGUUGCCCCCCCAUCUACUCCUUCGGGAUUGCGGGGGGCGGAUGAUGGCCUCCCGUGCGCCUCGUCGCGCGGUUGGCAUAAAUGCCAAGUCCUCGGCGACACACGCCACGACAAUCGGUGGUUGCGAAACCUCGGUUGCCCGUCGUGUGCGGUCGUCGCGCAUCGAGGGCUCGAAAAAAUUGCCGGGCUCCGGCUCGGCUUUCAACGCGACCCAAGGUCAGGCGGGGUUACCCGCUGAAUUUAAGCAUAUCAAUAAGCGGAGGA